Molecule: ribosomal RNA, 407 nt
Filed under: uncultured bacterium
Lineage: Bacteria
Description: partial 16S ribosomal RNA
Rfam family: Bacterial small subunit ribosomal RNA
Source: RNAcentral
GAUGAACGCUAGCUACAGGCUUAACACAUGCAAGUCGAGGGACCGGCGCACGGGUGAGUAACGCGUAUCCAACCUACCCAAUACUCAGGCAUAACCCGUUGAACGACGGACUAAUUCCUGACGGUAUUGGAUGGGGAUGCGUCUGAUUAGUUUGUUGGUGAGGUAACGGCUCACCAAGACUUCGAUCAGUAGGGGUUCUGAGAGGAAGGUCCCCGACAUUGGAAAGGAAGCACGAUCCAAACACCAACAGGAGGCAGCAGUGAGGAAUAUUGGUCAAUAGAAGCAAAUCUGAACCAGCCAAGUAGCGUGCAGGAUGGCGGCCAAUGGGUAGUAAACUGCUUUUAUAUGGGAAUAUGUGUCACAUGAAUAAGGGCCGGCAAAUUCCAGGCCAGCAGCCGCGGUAAAAC